AGCUCGAGAAUGGUUUCUCUCUCGGAGACGGACUCUCCGGUCUUCCUCUUUUCUUCUUCUUUUAACCAACACAGAUGACGAUCAAGUCCUCCCUCACCGAAUCAAUUUUUAUCACAUGUUUUGGUGGAAGAGAUAUCUCAAGUGUUAGAAUCUUAGACACUGCAGCUGAAUGCCCUGUCCGAAUCUUCCUCCCUAUUGCGCAAUUAGCUUCGUCAUGACUCUAGAUCUCUCGUUUGCUGCAACUUUUCCGGAUCCUAGUGUGAAACUUGUUAUCUUUAAAGGAGAGAGAGGCCAUGCCACUGACAGAGCCGAUGAUUGGAUCUCAGCCACCAUUCAAGCUAGCAUUGAAAAAGGAUUCACGGGCAAGCCUUAAAAUGUCUCUUAGAUCGGUUAGAUAAGAGAAGGACGAUUGCAGGGGGUGGGACAGUGCCUUAGCCGUGAAUAUAGAAUGGUGGUGAUAAAGGGAGAAAUGAGCAAAGAUCUUGUGGAGGGGUGCAGAGCCAUAUUGAUAGAGACAAAGAUAAGAACCCAAAGUGGAAGCCAUGGGGACUGGAGGAGAUGAAAUAGAGGAGUAUUUCAAGAGAGUGGAGGAAGAGGAAGAUCUAAAGCUUCCAGGCACCAAGGGAAAACUUGCCUGUGAAGUGGAGAAGGUGAUGGUUGAAGUUGUGAAAAGGGGAAAAAAAAUGUAACAACAACAAGAAUGGAUGCUUGUGUUGAAUUGGCCUUGCAAACAUACAUGAUACAUGUAAAUAAUAAUGCAAAACAGUCAAAAAGAAAAGAGAUAAUUAUUGUAA
This is a long non-coding RNA of Raphanus sativus (radish), 794 nucleotides long. RefSeq lists it as uncharacterized. Lineage: Eukaryota; Viridiplantae; Streptophyta; Magnoliopsida; Brassicales; Brassicaceae. The record is from RefSeq and is a predicted model, not a curated record. The transcript has 5 exons.